Molecule: RNase P RNA, 479 nt
Filed under: Treponema sp.
Lineage: Bacteria; Pseudomonadati; Spirochaetota; Spirochaetia; Treponematales; Treponemataceae
Description: RNase P RNA component class A
Rfam family: Bacterial RNase P class A
About the family: Ribonuclease P (RNase P) is a ubiquitous endoribonuclease, found in archaea, bacteria and eukarya as well as chloroplasts and mitochondria. Its best characterised activity is the generation of mature 5'-ends of tRNAs by cleaving the 5'-leader elements of precursor-tRNAs.
Source: RNAcentral
GCGAUGAAUCAGGCGGCCGCCCCGCCGUUACGCGCCCCGCAUCUUUGUUGUACUGCCGGAGGGUGUUUUAACAGGGGGGAGGAAAGUCCGGACUCCGCGGGCCGGGAUGCCGGGUAAUUCCCGGGAGUCCAGUCACAAAAGACUGGGCGACAGACAGCGCAGCAGAAAACAAACUACCGGCGCGGGUUUUUCGCACAGCGAAAAGCCCGCGCCGGAAAAGGUGAAAAGGCGGGGUAAAAGCCCACCGCGGCGGCGGCACCGGCGCCGGCAGUGCAAGCCUCAUCCGGAGCAAAGUUAAACAGCUGUGACGAAGGGCAGCCUUCACGGACGGGCCCGUCCGGGGACGGCGUCUUUGACGUCGUCCGGCACAGCGGGUAGACUGCAAAGAGUGUUUCGGCAACGAAAAACCAAGACAGAUGGCCGCGCGAUUUUGCCGCAGGGUAAAAUCGACAGAAUCCGGCUUAUGAUUCAUCGCUUUU